AUUGAACGCUGGCGGCAUGCUUUACACAUGCAAGUCGAACGGGCUGGGGGCAACUCCAGUCAGUGGCGAACGGGUGAGUAAUACAUCGGAACGUACCUCGUAGUGGGGGAUAACUCGGCGAAAGCCGUGCUAAUACCGCAUAUGCUCUACGGAGGAAAGCAGGGGACCGUAACAGGCCUUGUGCUAUGGGAGCGGCCGAUGUCCGAUUAGCCAGUUGGUGGGGUAAUGGCUCACCAAGGCGACGAUCGGUAGCUGGUCUGAGAGGAUGAUCAGCCACACUGGGACUGAGACACGGCCCAGACUCCUACGGGAGGCAGCAGUGGGGAAUUUUGGACAAUGGGGGCAACCCUGAUCCAGCCAUGCCGCGUGCGGGAAGAAGGCCUGGUGUAACG
Molecule: ribosomal RNA, 392 nt
Filed under: uncultured bacterium
Lineage: Bacteria
Description: bacterial SSU rRNA
Rfam family: Bacterial small subunit ribosomal RNA
Source: RNAcentral